UACGUAGGUGGCAAGCGUUGUCCGGAUUUACUGGGUGUAAAGGGCGUGCAGCCGGGAGUGCAAGUCAGAUGUGAAAUCCCGCGGCUCAACCGCGGAACUGCAUUUGAAACUGUGCUUCUUGAGUGCUGGAGAGGCAGACGGAAUUCCUAGUGUAGCGGUGAAAUGCGUAGAUAUUAGGAGGAACACCAGUGGCGAAGGCGGUCUGCUGGACAGUAACUGACGGUGAGGCGCGAAAGCGUGGGGAGCAAAUAGG
Molecule: ribosomal RNA, 253 nt
Filed under: uncultured bacterium
Lineage: Bacteria
Description: partial 16S ribosomal RNA
Rfam family: Bacterial small subunit ribosomal RNA
Source: RNAcentral